Molecule: long non-coding RNA, 4657 nt
Organism: Hirundo rustica (Barn swallow)
Lineage: Eukaryota; Metazoa; Chordata; Aves; Passeriformes; Hirundinidae
Exons: 2
Source: RefSeq, a predicted model, not a curated record
GGAACCGAAUAAAUCCACCUUCCACCCCUCAGAGGAACCGAAUAAAUCCACCUUCCACCUCUCAGAGGAACCAGGUCAAUCCCAAAGCCAGGGCUGCAGGUUCUGGGGAGGAUUCAUCACCCGUGGCUGGUUAAACAUCGCGGUGAGACUCAAGAUGGAACUGGGGAAGGUCUGUCAGAAUCUGGGUCACCUGCUCCUCUGCGGUCUCCGGUCUGCGUUCGGAGCUGGCCUGAGUCACGCCUGCGGGAUGCGAUGGGAGAAGUGGGAGAGCUCGUGGUGCAGUAAUUCAAGGGCUCGGACAGGCAGGAGCCCUCGAGUCCUUCCCAGCCCCGCCGGGAGAGGCUCGGCUGCCACUCGGGCCGGGCACCCCCGCUGCCGCUUUGCGCCUCCCGCCUCUGCUCCCCACGUCCCGGCGGAGCGGCCCCGGCUGCAGCGGCUCCUUCCCGUCCCGGGCGUUCCGUGCCUCGGCCCCGCUGCACGAGGGGCUGCGGCAGAGCCGCAGUCACAGCCCGACACGGCAGGGGCUCGCAAACCAGCCCGCGGUCCUGCGGGCGCAGGAGGGGUCUGGGCUCCCGACCCCGAGGUGCGCGGUGCCAGCCUGGGCAGGGGCUGGCCGGGCUGUGAGGGGCCGCCGAGGGCGGGGAGCAGCUCCCCAGCCCCGGGGCUGUCCCCACGUCACCCCCGCUGGUCCCUGUGUGCCGCCCGAACUGGAACCCGAGGGAUGCAGGUGCGUCCCUGCCCUCGGGCUGGCGGCGCUCCCGCCGCGCUGGCCCUGCCAGCCGCGCUGAGAUGUCACCGAAUCCGGCUCUUCCCUGUGAUUAACCGCCCUCAGAGCCUCGGGAUGAGCCGCACGCCGGGCCAGGAGCUGGGAGAGGUCCAGGCUGAGCAUCCCAACCCGCUCCGAGCCAGCGGGGAGUGAUAAAGCUCCUUUAGAUGCUGAUUUAAAGCUGCCUGCCCCGAUGAGCUCGGGCUUUAGAUGCUGAUUUAAAGCUGCCUGCCCCGAUGAGCUCGGGCUUUAUCUGAUCUGGGCCAUCUCAGGGAGGUGCUGGAGUGAUUCCACAGCUCGAUAUCUGCAGAGGAGUUCCUGCCUGUGGUGACAAUCAGUGGCGGGGGAACCACUCUCAGCGUGUGCUGUGCUGGCUCUGAGAUGUCACCCAGCUCCAGAGUGCCACCCCGGCCACCAGGGCUCUUUGAGGCCACACUCGGCUCUCAAACCUGCUUUAAAACACAAUUUCCCCCGGCUGAAAGGCCUGGCACUGCCUCUCGUCCUGACAAAGUUUGACCCAGCAGGAUCAGGGAGCGAGGAGGCGGCAGCUGCCUGGAGAGGAGCAUCCCUCCCGUGUGAGCCGGGUGCCAGCUGCCCAUCCGAGCAUCAGGCCCUGGCUCUCCUGCCGUCCCCAGGGCUCUCACCAGGGGAUCUCUGCAGGCUGAAGUUUCUCCUCUCUUGUCUCUCAGAGCUCAGAGCCAGCGCCGGGCUGUUGGAGGAUGGAAUGGAGGGAGCCCUGAGCAGGUUUAGGGGGAAGGCUCUGGAAGUCAGCAAGGCUUUAAAGGCUGAGCUGGGCUUGCCUCGGGCUGUGCAGCUCUGCAGGCUUCUCCCGGGCUUUGGGAUGCCCCUGGAUGCUGCAGCUCCGUCCAUCCCUCAGAUGAGGAGUCCCAAACGCACCCUCCCGUGUGUCACGCGGCCCAGGGCUGUCCCCAAGGGCCACCACGGGCUCACUGGUGGCUGGGAACGGCUGAUGAGUGGAAGCAGACACAAAACAACAACCUCAGAUUGCAGGGGGUCAUCGCUCCUCCCUCCCAGCCAGCUAAAAAGGAGCAAUUCCAGCCUCCCCCGGGUUCCUUGUGCCCCACGGGAGAUCAGCCAGUCCCGAGGCUCUCUGCCUUCAAGGAGCCCCUAAACCUGGCAGAAAAUCAGCGCUGGGCCACGCAUCCCUCCAGGUCUUACCAAGAAAUUUUGGGGUUUUAUUCCCUUCCCAAAGCCAGGACAGAAGGACACAGCCCUGAGGCGUUAAUUCCCUUCCCCCAGGACUCCUGGAUUUCCCCCGCCUCUCGCAUUCCUAUUUCCUGGCAGGUAUUUUUAUAAUCCCGUAAUUGUUGUUUUCCCCAGGUUCCAUUUUCUGUGUUGCAGCCUGGGCAGAGCCUUUUCCAUCUACAGGCAGCUGGAGCGGCCCCUCGGACACAGCAUGACAAACUGGGAGCUCCAGCAGCACAAACAGCUCCUCUGCCCCUUUUUUUGGGCGCUGGUGUGAGCUCACUGCUCACCCAAACACGGCGUGGGGACAGGGACAAGUCUCUUGGGGUCCCUGAGGAGGAUCUGCCCAGGAUCCUCCAAGGAAGAUAUUUUUGGGGUUUUUUUUCCUGUGGAUUGAGCAUUGCCCUGUGUGCAGUUUUAAAGGAGGAAAAGGGAAGAUGAAAUCUGAGCGGAUCUGUGGGUGCCUGUAGGAGAUUCGUCAUUUCAAGGGAUCUCGUGGAGAGAUGAGUCUGAGCUGGGAGCACACGGAGACGCCGGGAAGGAAAAACAUUUCCCCGUUUCACAGCAGCACAGAAUAAAAUUGUUUCAUUUUCUACUGACCCAGGGAAAAUCGAAAGGCCGCUGAGGACAUUUCUGAAGGGACCUGGAGGAUGAAAACCCCCUCUCCCAGCAGCAGCAGGGGCUGUGCCAGCACAGUGCCACCAGUAAAGGAGCACAACCAGGCACUGGGUGAUCCUGGAGGAGAAAACUCCUCUGCGAGGGCGGGCAGAGCCUGGCAGGGCUGCUGCCGAGGCGGCUCCCGGCUGUGGCUGUGUCACAGGACGUGUUUUGCUCGCGGAUGCCAUGAGGAAGGUGGGACAGCAGCCUGGCAAAGGGACAAGCACUGAGCACUGACCUCCCCGCGCCCUGGUUAAAUAUAGUGCAGACAGUGAUUCAUCCCAGCCGGGUCGGGAGCGACCCGCUUCUCCGGUCCGGACAGACCAACUUCACCCUCAAGGUGACUGAAAAGUUAUUCUGGGCUGCAGAGAGCCCUCUCCUUAUUUCAGGGCUUGCCAGGGAGCUGCUGCAGUUCAGCAGAGCCGGCCAAAGGGGGUUUGGCCUCACGGGGCACCCAGGGAAAAGCUGGGUUUGUUUCUUUCACCAAGUUCCUCCCUGAUUUUUCUCUGGGUCUGCUUUGCCUGAGCUGCGUUUCCUGGCAGGUGAAGUCUUUGGAUGAAAAAUUAUUCUUAGACCUUUCCCACUUGGGAUCUUAUUUCUGAAGCCAUCUAAAAUAGGCUGUUGCUCUACAUUCACGAGAGCGAAUUCACAGCGUUCCUCUGGCCCUCUCCUUGUUUUUAAGCAGGGCAAAACGGAACACAGGAGUUCUGAUGAUGCUGGUUUUAAUGAGAAGAAGAAGAGGAAAAAAAAAAGCUGCAGCCUGCUCCAUUAGUCACCUGGUGUUACAGGAAAGUAAUAAACCAGAAAUGUUCCUGCUCGCUCCUCCAUGCACCUUAUGUUGUGUUUCUGUUUUUGUACCAUUUUUCAGCGUCUUUGAUAUUUUCCCUGGAACACAGGAGGUAAGAUUGCUGAGACGUAGACCUUUACCAUAAUUAAGCGUGUUUCCUCCUCUUGUGAGAGCUCAUUCCUACACAAGUCCUCAGACGUGAAUGGGUUUUUUCCCCCUCUUCUGGGGUAGAACGUGAGCCUGGCUGAGGUGAUGGGGUUUACAUUGUGCACGUCUCUCUCCUGCCUGCAGAGAACCGCUGGAGUUCUCAGCAAGGCUCCUGUGCAUCCCUAAGUGUGACUCUUAGUUCAGAUAAUUUAUAUCUUGUAUGUAGGAAUGUGGAGUUAGAAGCAAAGCAGCCAGAGCUGCAGAUCAGUGUGUGAUGAUGCCCCAAAUUCAGGGCUUUGGGGGACCAAAUAUCCCAUUUUCUGUGGCUGGAGCAUCUCUGUAGCUUUGGGUGAGGCAGCUGCUUUCUCUGCACCAUCCAUUCAUUCCUGACAGCCACAGAGAGGGGGCUUAGGACCCCCUUUUUUUGCAGGCUGAGCUCAUUGAAAUUCUCUACAUGAAACCAGGGCAAGCCCCACUUCCAGUUUAUCCAUUCCCGCAGCUUCCAGCCUGCAAAAUUCCUCCUUGGCAGCACAGGGCGGUCAAGAGAUGCCGAGGGGAUCAUGUGAAGGAGGAGGAGAAAGAUGUUCUUUGGAGCAGCCUUUCUUCACCUUUAUCCUCUCCCUCUUUGUCCCUCGGCUCUCCCACACCCUGUGCAGGUCGGUGCCCGAGGCCGUGCUGGCAGAAUUCCUCGGGGUUCUCCAGCACCCUGCACGCUGCCAUGGCCACGGCUGCAUCAUCAUCACACUUCGGCCCUUCGGGUGCUUCUUUCGAAUGAUUCCCCCCCAGACAACGCCGGCAGCCCCUCAGCACGCGCUUCAAUGUGCCAAGCAGUCCUGCCUCUCACUCCCUGCUCCUUGAGCGACCCGAGGCAGCAGCACUGCAAUCCAUGGAGCAGAUAACGAGCUCCCUUAAUUACCCGGGCUUCUCCGCAGCCUCCUGCCCUCUGCUCGUACUUCUGAAGCCUUAAAACAAUCGAUACCGCACAGAUUUCUCCUGUCCUGAGCCAUCACAGGCCAUCGGGGAUUGUUUUUCUGAUUCUCCCCGGAGUUCAGGGCUGCUGUUUGCAGAGCGGCUCAGCCAGGUUUAAACGUCUG